AGGAGAAGAAGGAGAAGAAGAGAAGAAGAAGAAUAUGCCUUGCCUUAACAUUUCAACAAAUGUCAACCUCGAGGGUAUCGACGCCUCCUCUGUUCUCUCUGAGGCUUCAUCCACCGUUGCCAAGAUCAUCGGCAAGCCAGAGGCCUACGUGAUGGUUGUGCUGAAGGGAUCAGUACCCAUGUCUUUUGGUGGCAAUGAGGAGCCAGCAGCAUAUGGCGAGUUGGUGUCGAUUGGAGGUCUGAAUCCUGAUGUCAAUAAGAAACUGAGUGCUGCAAUUUCUGCAAUUCUCGAGACCAAGUUAUCUGUUCCCAAGUCAAGAUUCUUUCUCAAAUUUUACGACACCAAGGGUUCCAACUUCGGAUGGAAUGGCUCCACGUUCUAAGUUUGCCAUUUAGCUGCUUCUGUAAGCUCUUGAAAUUCUCAACUUUUAUGUACUGAUACCAUAGUUAUAAGGAUUUGGUACCAUUAACACUUCAUAUUAUAUGGAGUAUUAUCUAGAUUUCCU
Molecule: unclassified non-coding RNA, 505 nt
Filed under: Hevea brasiliensis (rubber tree)
Lineage: Eukaryota; Viridiplantae; Streptophyta; Magnoliopsida; Malpighiales; Euphorbiaceae
Source: RNAcentral